AUUGGAAGAGAGACGCAUGGAGAAUGGGUGAUGGGUUGUUGGUUUUUUGGGGUUGUUUUUGGUUGUUUUUUUUUUUUUUGUUAUUUUUUUCCAUUUCCUUGGUGACCUGUGCCCCAUUCGUUCUCACUGUUUGCAGAGGUGGUCCCAUCAUCAUCCCAAGGCCCGGCUGGGGCUGGAUGGGCUGGCCUUCCACGGUGGCCCAGACUGCUGCUCCUCGUGAUCUCAGGUGAUUGUCCCCCCAUAAACGUGAUGGAUGGCUCCUUACCAGACUGUAAAUCCCAAAGGGUCUGAGUUUAUUGUGGAGGCUGCUGGGCUGGUGGAUUCCUUCUUCCCUGUGCUCACCCCAGAGGAGUUGCCACAAAGUGCUGAUCAUCCAGUCUCAUUGAAAGUAGCACAUUCGCGUGAACGGGGCCCCGGGAGAGCAUUUCCACGCCCAAGUCGCCGAAGCAUUUGCGGAAAGCUCCUGGCCAGGUGGGAGUAUCUAGGACUGCGCUCUAGUCCCAGACCCGCCACCCGGCCUCCUGUGCCACCUGAGGCUGGUCCUGUGACUUCUGGUCUCAGCUUUCUCCUUUGUAAACGGUCUACGCCCCCACUCCCGGCUCUUCGGGAACUGACACAGUGA
RNAcentral lists this long non-coding RNA (622 nucleotides) under Felis catus (domestic cat). Its description in RNAcentral is "lncRNA (ENSFCAG00000051287.1)". The record is from RNAcentral. Lineage: Eukaryota; Metazoa; Chordata; Mammalia; Carnivora; Felidae.